GAUUUUAUAUUCGGUGAUGCUGCAGUAAUUUUCCAAAAUUGUGACAUAUAUGUUCGUGAUCCUCCUCUAAUUUCAAAUAUGUUUAGUUACAUUAUAAACAGAAACCUAUAAAUUUAUUAUUAUAUUGUAUUCCAACACCAUACAUACAAUAUAAAAAGAUUCAAAACCAAUUUAGCAAAAAAAGGCCCCUAAAGCUAUGAGGUAAGACCCUAAAGCAAAAAAAAGUAGCUAUGAGGUAAGACCCUAAAGCUAAAAAAGUAUUAGGAGAUGAAUAAUAACAAUGUGGAUUAUUUAUCACAUGAAUCUUCACCUGAAGCACACUUAUGCAAGCUCUAACAGGCUUUUUUUACAACAUGUGGACCAUGCCAAGUGUGUGUCAGCACACAAAAAUCAGUAAGAAUUUUGUUGUCACCAAGGUCAAACUUAACAUACCAUGUCUUGGAUGCAUCUGAGAGUGAACACAUUAGUACUCUCACAAAAUAAUGAUAGACCAACACUAAUAAUCCGGUGAAAAAUUAAAUAUUACGGUAACACAAAAUUAACAAAAAUAUAUGAUAUAAUUGCACGAAAGAGUAUAAUCCUUUACUUAGUGUAAUAAGUUUCCAAGUGAAAUUUACUUACUUAGGGUCCAAGUGCCUGCAUAAUUCAAAACAACUU
Molecule: long non-coding RNA, 657 nt
Filed under: Daucus carota (carrot)
Lineage: Eukaryota; Viridiplantae; Streptophyta; Magnoliopsida; Apiales; Apiaceae
Description: long non-coding RNA (DCAR_LNC003503)
Source: RNAcentral